GCAGGCGGUCUGUCAAGUCGGAUGUGAAAUCCCCGGGCUCAACCUGGGAACUGCAUUCGAAACUGGCAGGCUUGAGUCUUGUAGAGGGGGGUAGAAUUCCAGGUGUAGCGGUGAAAUGCGUAGAGAUCUGGAGGAAUACCGGUGGCGAAGGCGGCCCCCUGGACAAAGACUGACGCUCAGGUGCGAAAGCGUGGGGAGCAAACAGGAUUAGAUACCCUGGUAGUCCACGCCGUAAACGAUGUCUACUUGGAGGUUGUGCCCUUGAGGCGUGGCUUCCGGAGCUAACGCGUUAAGUAGACCGCCUGGGGAGUACGGCCGCAAGGUUAAAACUC
This 332-nucleotide ribosomal RNA is filed under the name Salmonella enterica. Its description in RNAcentral is "bacterial SSU rRNA". It matches the Rfam family "Bacterial small subunit ribosomal RNA", at positions 571 to 902 of the family's 1533-position model. Lineage: Bacteria; Pseudomonadati; Pseudomonadota; Gammaproteobacteria; Enterobacterales; Enterobacteriaceae. The record is from RNAcentral.